GCUGGCAUAGCUCAUCUGGUAGAGCAACUGACUUGUAAUCAGUAGGUGGUGGGUUCAAGUCCUACUGCCAGCACCA
This 76-nucleotide transfer RNA is filed under the name Clostridium sp. JN-9. RNAcentral describes it as "tRNA-Thr". It matches the Rfam family "tRNA". Rfam says of the family: Transfer RNA (tRNA) molecules are approximately 80 nucleotides in length. The record is from RNAcentral. Lineage: Bacteria; Bacillati; Bacillota; Clostridia; Eubacteriales; Clostridiaceae.